Molecule: long non-coding RNA, 462 nt
Filed under: Phoenix dactylifera (date palm)
Lineage: Eukaryota; Viridiplantae; Streptophyta; Magnoliopsida; Arecales; Arecaceae
Description: long non-coding RNA (PDAC_LNC001499)
Source: RNAcentral
UUUUAAGGAUUUAUUGAUAAUUUGGAAAAGAUAUUUAGUGUGAAGGAGAAGAGAUUUUACAUAAUCUGGAUUUUCGGGUUGGAGUUAGGUCAGGCCUAUUUUUUAUUUUAAAAAUCAUAAAGUAGGCAUGAAUAAUAUACGAGCCAGGUUAGGUUAGUUCAUUCCUAACUUUUGAAACCUGACCCAAAUCAUGGACCUCCAAAUAGAUUGGAUCAAUUUUAAUGGGAUCGGACUUGUUUCGAUUAUGAGUUGAUCUUAACCCAUUUGCAGCACUAUCUUAGUUUCGACUAGCCCGUAGCAAAAUAUAUUACGUGGUAAGCAACUGGCUGGCCCAACUACGGCUAAGCUUGGCUCCUCACAAGGCACAGCUAAUGAUGUCUUCGUGCCAUGCUUUCUCCUUUUGCUUCCUUAUACCCAGUCAACUUUCCGAGUCCUCGAAGCCAAAAGUAACUCAGAAAAAAA